This 371-nucleotide ribosomal RNA is filed under the name uncultured Pseudomonas sp. RNAcentral describes it as "bacterial SSU rRNA". It matches the Rfam family "Bacterial small subunit ribosomal RNA", at positions 1013 to 1382 of the family's 1533-position model. The record is from RNAcentral. Lineage: Bacteria; Pseudomonadati; Pseudomonadota; Gammaproteobacteria; Pseudomonadales; Pseudomonadaceae.
GGUGCCUUCGGGAACUCUGACACAGGUGCCGCAUGGCUGUCGUCAGCUCGUGUCGUGAGAUGUUGGGUUAAGGUCCCGUAACGAGCGCAACCCUUGUCCCUAGUUACCAGCACGUUAUGGUGGGCACUCUAAGGAGACUGCCGGUGACAACCGGAGGAAGGUGGGGAGUGACGUCAAGUCAUCAUGGCCCUUACGGCCUGGGCUACACACGUGCUACAAUGGUCGGUACAAAGGGUUGCCAAGCCGCGAGGUGGAGCUAAUCCCAUAAAACCGAUCGUAGUCCGGAUCGCAGUCUGCAACUCGACUGCGUGAAGUCGGAAUCGCUAGUAAUCGUGAAUCAGAAUGUCACGGUGAAUACGUUCCCGGGCCUU